This 191-nucleotide ribosomal RNA is filed under the name uncultured bacterium. RNAcentral describes it as "partial 16S ribosomal RNA". It matches the Rfam family "Bacterial small subunit ribosomal RNA", at positions 338 to 521 of the family's 1533-position model. The record is from RNAcentral.
CCUACGGGAGGCAGCAGUGGGGAAUAUUGGACAAUGGGCGAAAGCCUGAUCCAGCAAUGCCGCGUGUGUGAAGAAGGCCUUCGGGUUGUAAAGCACUUUCAGUGGGAAAGAAAAUCCUGGGGCUAAUAUCCCCGGGUCUUGACGUUACCCACAGAAGAAGCACCGGCUAACUCCGUGCCAGCAGCCGCGGU